Molecule: long non-coding RNA, 503 nt
Filed under: Marmota monax (woodchuck)
Lineage: Eukaryota; Metazoa; Chordata; Mammalia; Rodentia; Sciuridae
Source: RNAcentral
GAGGAAGAGACCCAUGGGGCUGAACACUGUUGAGGGCUCACAGGAGUCAUGAUCAGAGAAAGAAGGUCCUUCUAGGGAUGGAGAUAAUAGGAAAAGCUCAGACUUACCUUGUCUUUCCCGGAGUGUCACGCAAAUAAUGACAAAGUGUAACUGGUGGGCUGUGUUUGGAAGCACACUGAUUUGGAUGGUUCAAGAUCACAAAGGGUUUCCUCCCCGGUGCCAGGGUUUCUGCAGAUUGUAAAGGAGGUGAAGAAAACAGACUUUGCUUCUUAAUGUUGCCAAGUGGGUUGGUUAAAUGCAAAUGCAGAAAAGAGCACCUUCUCUGAAUUCAGAAAUGCGUGAGUAGAAAUAAGAGAGACCUGGUCCUGAAUGUCGCCCAGUCAACAUUUUGUUCCUAUAAACUCCCACCAGAGAAUCAUUCUUUUGACUGACUGACAGUGCAAAGAACACCACGUUUGCCCUGGCUGUGCUAACUAAUAACCUCAGUUUCUACCUCUGUGAAG